RNAcentral lists this microRNA precursor (78 nucleotides) under Schistosoma mansoni. Its description in RNAcentral is "mir-3492 microRNA precursor family". It matches the Rfam family "mir-3492 microRNA precursor family". Lineage: Eukaryota; Metazoa; Platyhelminthes; Trematoda; Strigeidida; Schistosomatidae. The record is from Rfam by way of RNAcentral.
AGCCUUCUGUAUCCAUGCUGAAAUUCCAUCGCACACCAGAUCACAAGGACUGAUGAGACUCCCAAGAUAAGUGAACCG